UCAAACAAAGGAAGUCACGCUUAUCCUUUGCCUCAACAAGGAUGCAGGAGUUUGAAGGGGGCACCCCACCCUAACGGCACAGUCUCAUCACCCUGAAUUUCUGGAUUGGGCAAACCGCUAGUUGACCCAGUAUUCAGCCAUAAAGAAACACAGAAGCUACUUCCUUGAAAUCAGUGCUACUUUGGAGCAACCACUUCAGAUUCCUAGCGUGUGGGUGGUUUGCACGCAUGAGUCAUGCAGAUGUUACGUUCCCCUGAAAGAACCAG
This 266-nucleotide long non-coding RNA is filed under the name Rhinopithecus bieti (black snub-nosed monkey). Its description in RNAcentral is "lncRNA (ENSRBIG00000046042.1)". The record is from RNAcentral. Lineage: Eukaryota; Metazoa; Chordata; Mammalia; Primates; Cercopithecidae.